RNAcentral lists this ribosomal RNA (271 nucleotides) under uncultured bacterium. RNAcentral describes it as "partial 16S ribosomal RNA". It matches the Rfam family "Bacterial small subunit ribosomal RNA", at positions 524 to 794 of the family's 1533-position model. The record is from RNAcentral.
UACGUAGGCAGCAAGCGUUGUUCGGAGUUACUGGGCGUAAAGGGUGCGUAGGCGGUUUGCCAAGUUUGGUGUGAAAUCUCCCGGCUUAACUGGGAGGGUGCGCCGAAAACUAGCAAGCUAGAGUGGGGGAGAGGAGAGUGGAAUUCCUGGUGUAGCGGUGAAAUGCGUAGAUAUCAGGAGGAACACCGGUGGUGUAGACGGCUCUCUGGACCCUAACUGACGCUGAGGCACGAAAGCGUGGGUAGCAAACAGGAUUAGAUACCCCUGUAGU